This 440-nucleotide ribosomal RNA is filed under the name uncultured bacterium. RNAcentral describes it as "partial 16S ribosomal RNA". It matches the Rfam family "Bacterial small subunit ribosomal RNA", at positions 338 to 795 of the family's 1533-position model. The record is from RNAcentral.
CCUACGGGAGGCAGCAGUGGGGAAUAUUGCACAAUGGGGGAAACCCUGAUGCAGCGACGCCGCGUGAGUGAAGAAGUAAUUCGUUAUGUAAAGCUCUAUCAGCAGGGAAGAAAAUGACGGUACCUGAGUAAGAAGCCCCGGCUAACUACGUGCCAGCAGCCGCGGUAAUACGUAGGGGGCAAGCGUUAUCCGGAUUUACUGGGUGUAAAGGGAGCGUAGACGGCAGUGCAAGUCUGGAGUGAAAGGCGGGGGCUCAACCCCCGGACUGCUCUGGAAACUGUACGGCUGGAGUGCAGGAGAGGUAAGUGGAAUUCCUAGUGUAGCGGUGGAAUGCGUAGAUAUUAGGAGGAACACCAGAGGCGAAGGCGGCUCACUGGACUGUAACUGACGUUGAGGCUCGAAAGCGUGGGGAGCAAACAGGAUUAGAUACCCGGGUAGUC